UACGUAGGGUGCGAGCGUUGUCCGGAAUUAUUGGGCGUAAAGAGCUCGUAGGCGGUCUGUCGCGUCGGUCGUGAAAACCUGCAGCUUAACUGUGGGCGUGCGGUCGAUACGGGCAUGACUGGAGUUCGGCAGGGGAGACUGGAAUUCCUGGUGUAGCGGUGAAAUGCGCAGAUAUCAGGAAGAACACCGGUGGCGAAGGCGGGUCUCUGGGCCGAUACUGACGCUGAGGAGCGAAAGCGUGGGGAGCAAACAGG
This 254-nucleotide ribosomal RNA is filed under the name uncultured bacterium. RNAcentral's name for it is "partial 16S ribosomal RNA". It matches the Rfam family "Bacterial small subunit ribosomal RNA", at positions 524 to 776 of the family's 1533-position model. The record is from RNAcentral.